GGAAUAUAAGAGUCCGCUUCUUAACUUUUAACUAAAAAAACUAAGAACCGGCUCUUAAAUAAGAGUUUUAAGAGUCGGUUUUUAGUUUUUUUAGUUAAAAGUUAAAGAGACAGAUUCUUAUAUUCC
This is a non-coding RNA of Brassica napus (rape), 126 nucleotides long. The record is from Rfam. NCBI's taxonomy places the organism in Eukaryota, Viridiplantae, Streptophyta, Magnoliopsida, Brassicales, Brassicaceae.